GGACUACUGGGGUAUCUAAUCCCGUUUGCUCCCCUGGCUUUCGCGCCUCAGCGUCAGAAGAGGUCCAGCCGCUCGCUUUCGCCACCGGCGUUCCUUCCUAUAUCAACGCAUUUCACCGCUCCACAGGAAGUUCCAGCGGCCCCUACCUCGCUCUAGCCAAUCCGUAUCCAAGGCCCGUUUCCGGUUAAGCCGAAAAAUUUCACCCCGGACGUGAUUGGCCGCCUACGCGCCCUUUAAGCCCAGUGAAUCCGAACAACGUUCGCACGGUUCGUCUUACCGCGGCGGCUGGCAC
This 292-nucleotide ribosomal RNA is filed under the name uncultured Planctomycetota bacterium. RNAcentral describes it as "uncultured planctomycete partial 16S ribosomal RNA". Lineage: Bacteria; Pseudomonadati; Planctomycetota. The record is from RNAcentral.